RNAcentral lists this unclassified non-coding RNA (309 nucleotides) under Bombus terrestris (buff-tailed bumblebee). Its description in RNAcentral is "misc RNA ENSBTSG00005035854.1". Lineage: Eukaryota; Metazoa; Arthropoda; Insecta; Hymenoptera; Apidae. The record is from RNAcentral.
GUGGCGGACGCAAGGGCACACCCGAGGUUGCUAUAAAACAUUUAUAGAGAAAGAAGUUAUUAUAUUUAGAGUAUUGACAAUAGAGUGAUGAAUUAAUUCGUCUUCGCUGGAUGUUUCACGUUUAUCCUGGUUAUCACGUUUGCUUCGUACGUGAAGCGAGUCGUUGGAAUAUUCGCGAAGUUAACAAAACAUUUUUCGGAAAUAAAACCGGUGAAGAGGUGAAUACUUAAGUGGAAUUUUCACAUUAACUUCGUGACCAUAAACUUCGUGACCAUUAACUUCGUGACCAUUAGCUUCGUGACCAUUUCG